AUGCUCGUUAACGGCGUCAGAGAAGCAGAAAACCAGAGAAUCUUCAGUGAGAUGUCAGGUUUCGGAUUGAAGUAUAAAGGCAAUGAUGUCGGUUCCAGAAUGGGUAUGCUGAAGUUCUUGCAGCCAUCUCACUUGGAUGGUAGCUUCCCUUAUAGCAUGAUUUUUGGUAAGGGUGAUCUUUUGGCUUGGAAAAACUCAUACUAA
Non-coding RNA from Vicia faba (fava bean), 204 nucleotides. The record is from the annotation of a GenBank genome assembly. NCBI's taxonomy places the organism in Eukaryota, Viridiplantae, Streptophyta, Magnoliopsida, Fabales, Fabaceae.